Molecule: ribosomal RNA, 927 nt
Filed under: uncultured bacterium
Lineage: Bacteria
Description: bacterial SSU rRNA
Rfam family: Bacterial small subunit ribosomal RNA
Source: RNAcentral
AGAGUUUGAUCCUGGCUCAGAACGAACGCUGGCGGCGUGCCUAACACAUGCAAGUCGAGCGCGAAAGGAGCAAUCCGAGUAGAGCGGCGCACGGGUGAGUAACACGUGGGUAAUCUGCCUCGAAGUCUGGAAUAACCUUCCGAAAGGUUGGCUAAUGCCGGAUAAGCUCACGGGAACUUCGGUUCUUGUGGGAAAAGGUGGCCUCUGUUUACAAGCUAUCACUUCGAGAUGAGCCCGCGGCCCAUCAGUUAGUUGGCGGGGUAACGGCCCACCAAGACUACGACGGGUAGCUGGUCUGAGAGGACGAUCAGCCACACUGGAACUGAGACACGGUCCAGACUCCUACGGGAGGCAGCAGUGGGGAAUUUUGCACAAUGGGCGCAAGCCUGAUGCAGCAACGCCGCGUGUGUGAUGAAGGUCUUCGGAUCGUAAAGCACUUUCGACCGGGACGAAACACCCUCACCCAACACGUGAGGGCCUGACGGUACCGGGAGAAGAAGCACCGGCUAACUCUGUGCCAGCAGCCGCGGUAAUACAGAGGGUGCAAGCGUUGUUCGGAAUUAUUGGGCGUAAAGCGCGUGUAGGCGGCAUAGCAAGUCGGGUGUGAAAGCCCUCGGCUCAACCGAGGAAGUGCGCCCGAAACUGCUGUGCUUGAGUACCGGAGAGGGUAGCGGAAUUCCCCAAGUAGAGGUGAAAUUCGUAGAUAUGGGGAGGAACACCGGUGGCGAAGGCGGCUACCUGGACGGUCACUGACGCUGAGACGCGAAAGCGUGGGUAGCAAACAGGAUUAGAUACCCUGGUAGUCCACGCUGUAAACGAUGAGAACUAGGUGUCGUGGGUGUUGACCCCCGCGGUGCCGUAGCUAACGCAUUAAGUUCUCCGCCUGGGAAGUACGGUCGCAAGACUAAAACUCAAAGGAAUUGACGG